RNAcentral lists this ribosomal RNA (327 nucleotides) under uncultured eukaryote. RNAcentral's name for it is "partial 18S ribosomal RNA". It matches the Rfam family "Eukaryotic small subunit ribosomal RNA", at positions 1470 to 1796 of the family's 1831-position model. The record is from RNAcentral.
CCCUUAGAUGUUCUGGGCCGCACGCGCGCUACACUGAUUCAUGCAACAAAUUUUGUCCUUGGCUGAUAGGCCUGGGUAAUCUUUGAACGUGAAUCGUGAUGGGGAUAGAUGAUUGCAAUUAUUCAUCUUCAACGAGGAAUUCCUAGUAAACGCAAGUCAUCAGCUUGCAUUGAUUACGUCCCUGCCCUUUGUACACACCGCCCGUCGCACCUACCGAUUGAAUGGUCCGGUGAAAUCUUCGGAUCUGAGAGAUGUCUGAUUAAUUUCGGACGCCUUUUGGAAAAGUUGCUUAAACCUUACCAUUUAGAGGAAGGUGAAGUCGUAACA